AGUGGGGAAUCUUAGACAAUGGGGGCAACCCUGAUCUAGCCAUGCCGCGUGAGUGAUGAAGGCCUUAGGGUUGUAAAGCUCUUUCAGCUGGGAAGAUAAUGACGGUACCAGCAGAAGAAGCCCCGGCUAACUCCGUGCCAGCAGCCGCGGUAAUACGGAGGGGGCUAGCGUUGUUCGGAAUUACUGGGCGUAAAGCGCACGUAGGCGGACCGGAAAGUUGGGGGUGAAAUCCCGGGGCUCAACCUCGGAACUGCCUUCAAAACUAUCGGUCUGGAGUUCGAGAGAGGUGAGUGGAAUUCCGAGUGUAGAGGUGAAAUUCGUAGAUAUUCGGAGGAACACCAGUGGCGAAGGCGGCUCACUGGCUCGAUACUGACGCUGAGGUGCGAAAGCGUGGGGAGCAAA
Molecule: ribosomal RNA, 402 nt
Filed under: uncultured Paracoccus sp.
Lineage: Bacteria; Pseudomonadati; Pseudomonadota; Alphaproteobacteria; Rhodobacterales; Paracoccaceae
Description: bacterial SSU rRNA
Rfam family: Bacterial small subunit ribosomal RNA
Source: RNAcentral